UGCCCAGCAACUCCUAUCCCUACCUCCUCGCGGUACUGGCCGGGGUACGAGUAACCUUAGGGAAGAUCGAGUAACCAACCCCGGUGGGAACUUUGGUCGUAUGCUGACAGGGAAGA
RNAcentral lists this ribozyme (116 nucleotides) under Aedes aegypti (yellow fever mosquito). RNAcentral's name for it is "drz-agam-1 ribozyme". It matches the Rfam family "drz-agam-1 ribozyme". The record is from Rfam by way of RNAcentral. Lineage: Eukaryota; Metazoa; Arthropoda; Insecta; Diptera; Culicidae.